GGCCGCGGGAAUUCCUUUCAGGCCUAACACAUGCAAGUCGAGCGGAUGAAAGUCCCUUGCUACUGGAUUCAGCGGCGGACGGGUGAGUAAUGCUUAGGAAUCUGCCUAUUAGUGGGGGACAACAUCUCGAAAGGGAUGCUAAUACCGCAUACGUCCUACGGGAGAAAGCAGGGGAUCUUCGGACCUUGCGCUAAUAGAUGAGCCUAAGUCGGAUUAGCUAGUUGGUGGGGUAAAGGCCUACCAAGGCGACGAUCUGUAGCGGGUCUGAGAGGAUGAUCCGCCACACUGGGACUGAGACACGGCCCAGACUCCUACGGGAGGCAGCAGUGGGGAAUAUUGGACAAUGGGGGGAACCCUGAUCCAGCCAUGCCGCGUGUGUGAAGAAGGCCUUUUGGUUGUAAAGCACUUUAAGCGAGGAGGAGGAGCUCUUGGUUAAUACCCAGGAUGCUUGGACGUUACUCGCAGAAUAAGCACCGGCUAACUCUGUGCCAGCAGCCGCGGUAAUACAGAGGGUGCAAGCGUUAAUCGGAUUUACUGGGCGUAAAGCGCGCGUAGGUGGCCAAUUAAGUCAAAUGUGAAAUCCCCGAGCUUAACUUGGGAAUUGCAUUCGAUACUGGUUGGCUAGAGUAUGGGAGAGGAUGGUAGAAUUCCAGGUGUAGCGGUGAAAUGCGUAGAGAUCUGGAGGAAUACCGAUGGCGAAGGCAGCCAUCUGGCCUAAUACUGACACUGAGGUGCGAAAGCAUGGGGAGCAAACAGGAUUAGAUACCCUGGUAGUCCAUGCCGUAA
Molecule: ribosomal RNA, 786 nt
Filed under: uncultured bacterium
Lineage: Bacteria
Description: bacterial SSU rRNA
Rfam family: Bacterial small subunit ribosomal RNA
Source: RNAcentral